Molecule: ribosomal RNA, 441 nt
Filed under: uncultured fungus
Lineage: Eukaryota; Fungi
Description: SSU rRNA
Rfam family: Eukaryotic small subunit ribosomal RNA
Source: RNAcentral
GGGAUCCGAUUUAGCAUGGAAUAAUAAAAUAGGACUUCGGUUCUAUUUUGUUGGUUUCUAUAACUGAAGUAAUGAUUGAUAGGGAUAGUUGGGGGUGCUAGUAUUGGCCGGUCAGAGGUGAAAUUCUUGGAUUCGGUCAAGACUAACUUAUGCGAAAGCAUUCACCAAGGAUGUCUUCUUUAAUCAAGAACGAAAGUUGGGGGAUCGAAGACGAUCAGAUACCGCCGUAGUCUCAACUAUAAACUAUGCCAACUAGGGAUGGGUGAAUGUUGCUUUUUCGACUUCAUCCGCACCUUAUGAGAAAUCAAAGUCUUUGGGUUCCGGGGGAGUAUGGUCGCAAGGCUGAAACUUAAAGGAAUUGACGGAAGGGCACCACCAGGUGUAGAGCCUGCGGCUUAUUUGACUCAACACGGGGAAACUCACCAGGUCCAGAAAUCUAGA